This 172-nucleotide small RNA is filed under the name Corynebacterium sp. RNAcentral describes it as "c-di-AMP sequence". It matches the Rfam family "c-di-AMP riboswitch aptamer (ydaO/yuaA leader)". Rfam says of the family: This family represents a conserved RNA structure found upstream of the ydaO and yuaA genes in Bacillus subtilis and related genes in other bacteria. The ydaO/yuaA element is thought to act as a genetic "off" switch for the ydaO and yuaA genes in its native state. The record is from RNAcentral. Lineage: Bacteria; Bacillati; Actinomycetota; Actinomycetes; Mycobacteriales; Corynebacteriaceae.
GUACAUAUAGCGCCUAAUUCCCUGAGCCUUAGUGGCUUCGGGAAGCCGGGGACCCAAGCAGGAUUUUCUCUCUGGGGUGAAUGCGAACGAGAGCGGAGUUUUCCGUGGAAGUCGUAAGGCUGGUUCUCUAGCCCAACCCGUCAGCUAACUCGGUCGGCAAAAGAGAAGAUAU